UGGGGAAUAUUGCACAAUGGGCGCAAGCCUGAUGCAGCCAUGCCGCGUGUAUGAAGAAGGCCUUCGGGUUGUAAAGUACUUUCAGCGGGGAGGAAGGGAGUAAAGUUAAUACCUUUGCUCAUUGACGUUACCCGCAGAAGAAGCACCGGCUAACUCCGUGCCAGCAGCCGCGGUAAUACGGAGGGUGCAAGCGUUAAUCGGAAUUACUGGGCGUAAAGCGCACGAAGGCGGUUGAUUGAGUCAGAUGCGAAAUCCCCGGGCUUAACCCGGGAAUUGCAUCUGAUACUGGUCAGCUAGAGUCUUGUAUAGGGGGGUAGAAUUCCAUGUGUAGCGAUGAAAUGCGUAGAGAUGUGGAGGAAUACCGGUGGCGAAGGCGGCCCCCUGGACAAAGACUGACGCUCAGGUGCGAAAGCGUGGGGAGCAAACAGG
This 429-nucleotide ribosomal RNA is filed under the name Chloroflexota bacterium. RNAcentral's name for it is "Chloroflexi bacterium partial 16S ribosomal RNA". It matches the Rfam family "Bacterial small subunit ribosomal RNA", at positions 355 to 776 of the family's 1533-position model. Lineage: Bacteria; Bacillati; Chloroflexota. The record is from RNAcentral.